UACGUAGGGGGCAAGCGUUGUCCGGAUUUAUUGGGCGUAAAGAGCGUGUAGGCGGCCAUACAGGUCAGCUGUGAAAACUCGAGGCUCAACCUCGAGACGUCGGUUGAAACCGUAUGGCUCGAGUCCGGAAGAGGAGAGUGGAAUUCCCGGUGUAGCGGUGAAAUGCGCAGAUAUCGGGAAGAACACCCGUGGCGAAGGCGGCUCUCUGGGACGGUACUGACGCUGAGACGCGAAAGCGUGGGGAGCGAACAGG
Molecule: ribosomal RNA, 253 nt
Filed under: uncultured bacterium
Lineage: Bacteria
Description: partial 16S ribosomal RNA
Rfam family: Bacterial small subunit ribosomal RNA
Source: RNAcentral